RNAcentral lists this ribosomal RNA (301 nucleotides) under uncultured bacterium. RNAcentral's name for it is "partial 16S ribosomal RNA". It matches the Rfam family "Bacterial small subunit ribosomal RNA", at positions 509 to 807 of the family's 1533-position model. The record is from RNAcentral.
CAGCAGCCACGGGAAUACGAGGGGGGCAAGCGUUGUUCGGAAUUAUUGGGCGUAAAGGGCGCGUAGGCGGUUUGACAAGUCUGAUGUGAAAUCUAUGGGCUCAACCCAUAGCCUGCAUUAGAAACUGUCGGGCUUGAGUAUGGGAGAGGUGAGUGGAAUUUCCGGUGUAGCGGUGAAAUGCGUAGAUAUCGGAAGGAACACCUGUGGCGAAAGCGGCUCACUGGACCAUAACUGACGCUGAGGCGCGAAAGCUAGGGGAGCAAACAGGAUUAGAUACCCCGGUAGUCUCUGUCUCUUAUAC